This 411-nucleotide ribosomal RNA is filed under the name Segatella copri. RNAcentral's name for it is "partial 23S ribosomal RNA". It matches the Rfam family "Bacterial large subunit ribosomal RNA", at positions 1196 to 1600 of the family's 2925-position model. The record is from RNAcentral. Lineage: Bacteria; Pseudomonadati; Bacteroidota; Bacteroidia; Bacteroidales; Prevotellaceae.
GAAGGCGCGGGAUAGCAAUUUUAAAAGUAUCGGUAGGGGAGCAUACUCACAGCGUUGAAUGGUGUACGUAAGUUAUCCUGGAGCGGUGAGUAAAGCAAAUGUAGGAAUAAGUAACGAUAAGGAGGGUUAGAUUCCCUCCCGCUGUAAGACCAAGGUUUCCCGGGCAAUGCCAAUCAGCCCGGGGUCAGUCGGGUCCUAAGUCUAAGCCGAACGGCGAUGGCGAUGGCAGAGACGGUUAAUAUUCCGUCACUGCCGCAUGGGGCGACGUGGAGACGGAGCAGUGAAACCACCGCGGGGCGACGGAAGUCCCCGUUGAAGAGUGUAGGUGUUGAGGAUGGCAGGCAAAUCCACCAUCCGAGCUGAACUUGACAGUAUGGAGUCUUCUUCGGAAGAAUCCAAUAGUGUGGGUAA